UACGUAGGGUGCAAGCGUUGUCCGGAAUUAUUGGGCGUAAAGAGCUCGUAGGCGGUCUGUUACGUCGGCUGUGAAAACCUGGGGCUCAACCCCGGGCCUGCAGCCGAUACGGGCAGACUAGAAUUCGGUAGGGGAGACUGGAAUUCCUGGUGUAGCGGUGGAAUGCGCAGAUAUCAGGAGGAACACCGGUGGCGAAGGCGGGUCUCUGGCGCACAUUGACGCUGAGGAGCGAAAGCGUGGGGAGCGAACAGG
This 252-nucleotide ribosomal RNA is filed under the name uncultured bacterium. RNAcentral describes it as "partial 16S ribosomal RNA". It matches the Rfam family "Bacterial small subunit ribosomal RNA", at positions 524 to 776 of the family's 1533-position model. The record is from RNAcentral.